AGGGCACCACCAGGAGUGGAGCCUGCGGCUUAAUUUGACUCAACACGGGAAAACUCACCCGGCCCGGACACUGGAAGGAUUGACAGAUUGAGAGCUCUUUCUUGAUUCAGUGGGUGGUGGUGCAUGGCCGUUCUUAGUUGGUGGAGUGAUUUGUCUGGUUAAUUCCGAUAACGAACGAGACUCUAGCCUACUAAAUAGAUCGUCGGCUUACAAACGCCGGCGAGACUUCUUAGAGGGACAGGCGGUGAUUCAACCGCACGAAACAGAGCAAUAACAGGUCUGUGAUGCCCUUAGAUGUCCGGGGCCGCACGCGCGCUACACUGAAGUGAUCAGCGUGCUUUUUCAACCUACUCUGUCAAGAGUGGGGAACCCAAUGAACCUUCUUCGUGAUUGGGAUAGGGGAUUGUAAUUGUCCCCCUUGAACGAGGAAUUCCCAGUAAGCGCGAGUCAUAAGCUCGCGUUGAUUACGUCCCUGCCCUUUGCACACACCGCCCGUCGCUACUACCGAUUGAAUGUUUU
Molecule: ribosomal RNA, 519 nt
Filed under: uncultured eukaryote
Lineage: Eukaryota
Description: SSU rRNA
Rfam family: Eukaryotic small subunit ribosomal RNA
Source: RNAcentral